This 808-nucleotide long non-coding RNA is filed under the name Homo sapiens (human). Its description in RNAcentral is "IL20RB antisense RNA 1, transcript variant 2 (IL20RB-AS1)". Lineage: Eukaryota; Metazoa; Chordata; Mammalia; Primates; Hominidae. The record is from RNAcentral.
AGAUGUGGCUCGUGUACAGGCUCUCGUACUCCCUGUCAAAGAGAGGAGGGCACAGAGUUACACCAGCCCCUCUGACACAGGCUCAGUUAUGGUUGCAAGUAACUGACUUCGUUCACCUACUUUGUACAGAUGCCAAAGCAAUCGUUUCAUGUCCCUCAACAAGGCCAAAUGGGUCAUCAGUUGCCAGGUGGGAAGUACAGGCUCAGAUCUGCUGUGGAGAGAGUCCAUUCAAGUGGGACACCAAGCCAGCUCUGUGAGUCCACCCCGGAAAGACUGCAGGCCCCUGAGCCAGUCUGGGACACAAGUAUGCCCCGAGUGUACCCAGACACAGUGUGCCCAGAGUAUGCACACAGUGGGACUAUGAUUUGUAGAGAAUGAAAGAGGCCUAUGAAGCUGAACCUGCUCAUAAGGACUUUGGGCAGUCACAAAGCCAAAAACUUCAUCCUCACAUGUCACCCAAAGAGCUCUAUUUGUAUUUACCUCCGAAAAUCAACUUACCGAAGAUUCACUAUCACGAAUGAGGAAAUCCCCUUCAUGUCCUCUUUCAUUUAAUGCCAUUUCUGCUUGAUGCCUGGUGACUUUGCCAUAAUACCAAGGAUUGCCAGCAAACUUUCCAGUGAGUGAAGGCCUAAUGUAAUCACACUGUGGAGGUGAUGGUUCCAAACCUGAAGUUAAUGGAUUAUUCUGCAUAACGGUAACAUAGUUUUUUGGUACUAGACCAACCAUACCAUUGAUCUUCCUGCAUUUCCACCACUCUGGGUCAUUUUCAGGUUUUUCAAUAACAUCCAUUACAUCUCCUUUCUCGAAA